This 386-nucleotide ribosomal RNA is filed under the name uncultured bacterium. Its description in RNAcentral is "bacterial SSU rRNA". It matches the Rfam family "Bacterial small subunit ribosomal RNA", at positions 29 to 416 of the family's 1533-position model. The record is from RNAcentral.
ACGAACGCUGGCGGCGUGCUUAACACAUGCAAGUCGAGCGGUAAGGCCCUUUCGGGGGUACACGAGCGGCGAACGGGUGAGUAACACGUGGGUGACCUGCCCUCAGCUCUGGGAUAAGCCUGGGAAACCGGGUCUAAUACUGGAUAUGACUCCAUGACGCAUGUUGUGGGGUGGAAAGCCUUGUGCGGCUGAGGAUGGGCCCGCGGCCUAUCAGCUUGUUGGUGGGGUGANGGCCUACCAAGGCGACGACGGGUAGCCGGCCUGAGAGGGCGACCGGCCACACUGGGACUGAGACACGGCCCAGACUCCUACGGGAGGCAGCAGUGGGGAAUCUUGCGCAAUGGGCGAAAGCCUGACGCAGCGACGCCGCGUGAGGGAUGACGGCC